UACGUAGGAUGCAAGCGUUGUCCGGAUUUACUGGGCGUAAAGCGCGCGCAGGCGGCAGUGUAAGUAAGGUGUGAAAUAUCCCGGCUCAACCGGGAGGGUGCACUUUAGACUACACAGCUUGAGGUCGGUAGAGGGGGGUAGAAUUGCUGGUGUAGCGGUGAAAUGCGUAGAGAUCAGCAGGAAUACCCGUGGCGAAGGCGGCCCCCUGGGCCGUACCUGACGCUGAGGCGCGAAGGCUAGGGGAGCGAACGGG
RNAcentral lists this ribosomal RNA (253 nucleotides) under uncultured bacterium. Its description in RNAcentral is "partial 16S ribosomal RNA". It matches the Rfam family "Bacterial small subunit ribosomal RNA", at positions 524 to 776 of the family's 1533-position model. The record is from RNAcentral.